Molecule: ribosomal RNA, 425 nt
Filed under: uncultured bacterium
Lineage: Bacteria
Description: bacterial SSU rRNA
Rfam family: Bacterial small subunit ribosomal RNA
Source: RNAcentral
GAGCGGUAACAGGUGUAGCAAUACAUGCUGACGAGCGGCGAACGGGUGAGUAAUGCUUCGGAAUCUGCCCAAUGGUGGGGAAUAACCAGCCGAAAGGUUGGCUAAUACCGCAUGAGCCCUACGGGGGAAAGCAGGGGAUCGCAAGACCUUGCGCCGAUGGAUGAGCCGAAGCCGGAUUAGCUAGUUGGUAGGGUAACGGCCCACCAAGGCGACGAUCAGUAGCUGGUCUGAGAGGAUGAUCAGCCUCACUGGGACUGAGACACGGCCCAGACUCCUACGGGAGGCAGCAGUGGGGAAUAUUGGACAAUGGGCGCAAGCCUGAUCCAGCCAUGCCGCGUGGGUGAUGAAGGCCCUAGGGUUGUAAAGCCCUUUCGGCGGGGAAGAUAAUGACGGUACCCGCAGAAGAAGCCCCGGCUAACUUCGUG